Pteropus alecto (black flying fox) is the source of this 2601-nucleotide long non-coding RNA. RefSeq lists it as uncharacterized. The record is from RefSeq and is a predicted model, not a curated record. The transcript is spliced from 3 exons. NCBI's taxonomy places the organism in Eukaryota, Metazoa, Chordata, Mammalia, Chiroptera, Pteropodidae.
UAUUUUAUACAGUAGAGUGUAAUCUAGCCAGUGUGACUAGCCUUGUUUGUUCCAAAGAUUAAAUUACAUUAUUGUAAUUACAGAUAUAAUCGAUUUUACUCCCUAUUGAUUAAUUUUAGCUUUCCAUUGUCCUUUUUUCCUACAUUUUUUUUCUUUUAAAAUUUUAUUAGGGAUAGAUGUUUUUCAACCACAUGUAUCUCUGGCAUAUUUGAGAAGUAGUACACUCUGUUUUAUUAAAUAAAGGCUACAUAGAAAUUUUAACACAAUACAUACCUAAAAUAAAUCAACGUCCCUUCCACCUUGAACAUUAUUAUUCUGUGGACAUUUAACUACAGUCAUUCCCCUUCCAAUCUAUAUAUUAUUGGUGUUUAUUUUAUUUCUUUAACCACAUAUAAUGAAUGAUGCAAUUAUUGUGCUGAAGAGUCCAUGUUAUACAGUUAUUCACGUAUUUAAUACUUUCUUUUCUUGUCCAUUUUCUCCUGAAUCUUAGACCUUCCAUCUGGAAUCACAUUUCUUUCACUUGAAGUACAUGAUUUAGAACUUUCCAUAGGUAGAGUUCAGGACCAUUAGAUGUACAAAUUCAGAAUAUCAUGGUUUCUCCCUGAGUUGAAGAAAUUGAAGUGACAGCAAAUGAAGCACGGUAUUGAAACAUUGGACCGCAUUGUUCAUCACAAAUGAUGGAGGUCUCUUCACCAUACACACACCCUUCCAAAAUGUGGCUGCCUGAUCCCGCUUCGUAUGAAUUUCCAACAUGAAAACUUCCAGGAUUCUCUAAUCGUUUUCACACUUUGUAGAUGUUGGAGGAUUCCAAGUUUGCAUCAGAAAGUGCAGUUGGCAAGUGAUCUCUUGAAACAACACUGCAGGCAAUUCAAUUUAUCUAUUUUUUAAUUCCCAAACAGGAAAUGUUUGGAGCCCAGAUCAAAACAGAAGCUCGCAGAACAGGAGUUACUCAACUCACAGCUCUUAACUCAAGUAUUAUUCCUCAGAGGGAUCUAUCUUCCUUCUUAAGCAAGCAUGUAUACCCGUUUUAAGGCUCCAAUAGGUUUUCAGUGCCUUAAUUGAAUGGCUCUCAGAGAUGGCUACAUGCAUUUCACAACACAUUUUCUGUUCAUUUAUAAAAUGGCAUUGCUAAGGACACAGAUUACAAGCAAUUCUUCACUAGAAAGAUUUCUCAUCGCAUUCUAUAAUGACACUACAGGCAAUAAACCAUGGACUUUCAUUCUCCUUGACAAAGGGACACUGUACAGGACAGCUGUUAAAGACUCUCUCCCAUAAAUGACAAGCUAGCUAACACUCUAUGAGUGCCGGCUUAUUCAGUCUGUUCAGAUGGUAAGUUCAAACUCAUGAGUCUCUAAAGAGUUUACAACUAGCUUUUUAUUCUGAAUACAGGUCACAUCAUGAACAGAGCUACAUUCAUGUCAGACUGGGUAUGAAGUUUACUCCCCUCAAGAACACUAGGGCAAAGAGCUUGCCCAUAUCAAAAAUGUAUUACAUGCAUUACAAGAAUUAACUGUAAUCACUUUCUCUCUAUAUAUAUAUAUUUGGCUGCCUAACAAAAUAUUUGCUUGUUAAAUCUCAUUUCGAUGUUUAAUUAUUAGAGGAAAAACCUGAACUAACACAGCACAUUAGGAAAUUAAAAUUUAAAAAGUAAUAUUAGUAUUUCAAAAUAUAUAAAUUAAAUUCAAAGUAUUCAUAAACAUUUACAAAAAGAGCUAUAGGGAAAAUAAAGAUGAAGAAUUUUAAAAAUUAAUAUAGAACUGUAAUAUAUAAAUCUAGGUAUUAAAAUAUGUUUCAACAUUAUAAUGAAGAUAAAUUGAAUAGGUAUAAUAUGUAUUCAUUUAUGUGAAGACAAAAAAUGACUAAGGAAACCUUGAGGGUUAUACCAUUAUUUAAACAUGACUACAAUGUAGAAGAGUGCCAUACAUUAUAGGAUACUUUAAAAUAAUAUGAGAAACUCCAAUUAAUAUUUCUCUUAGGUCAGCAACUACAUGGUUGCUAUCACUCUUUUCUUCCACAUCACUGGCAGACACUACAAGGUACACAGAGUUCUCUUUCCCACUAAGCGCAAUCCUUGUCAAGAUACCUUCUAAUAAUAAAUAGGAAAGCAUUAUUUGUCACAUUUGUCUUAAUCAUAGAGUUUAGCUCAAUUUCACUUGAAGAGUAGCAGAACAUGCCACCCUAAUUUACAACAGUAGGAGUUUAACACGUCACCCCAAAAUAUGCCACUUUUUGGUAUAUUGAUUACUUUGAGCUGUAGGCAUUUACAAAACAGCAGAUUCAGGGAGAGGUUUUCUCUGAACUCCCUUUAUCUACCUAAAGUCAGAUCCUCAAAAAGGAACUCAAUUGUUAUAGACUCUCUCUCCCUAGGAGCUUCAUCAACUAGCAAAGAUUGAUUCUUAUCACAGGAGAACAGACUAGCAGUGGACGGAACACCCAGACAAACUUUGUCACAAACUAUUACAUCUCCCAUCUACUCUUCUAAGAACCCAUUUAUCCUUCCAAAGAGCUAUUUACUCUAAGAGGCUUAUAAUCCCCUUCCCUUUCCCUAUUAAGAUAAUAUUUAAUCCUGAAUUCUAAAGACACCUCUUUGAGUUACUCAUC